Molecule: ribosomal RNA, 420 nt
Filed under: Fusobacteriota bacterium
Lineage: Bacteria; Fusobacteriati; Fusobacteriota
Description: Fusobacteria bacterium partial 16S ribosomal RNA
Rfam family: Bacterial small subunit ribosomal RNA
Source: RNAcentral
UGGGGGAUAUUGCACAAUGGGCGGAAGCCUGAUGCAGCGACGCCGCGUGGGGGAUGAAGGCCUUCGGGUUGUAAACUUCUUUUGCUCUGAACAAGGCAUGCCUUUGGGGUGUGUUGAGUGUAGGGGUUGAUUAGCGCCGGCUAACUACGUGCCAGCAGCCGCGGUAAUACGUAGGGCGCGAGCGUUGUCCGGAAUUAUUGGGCGUAAAGGGCUUGUAGGUGGCUGGUUGCGUCUGUCGUGAAAGCUCAUGGCUUAACUGUGGGUUUGCGGUGGGUACGGGCUGGCUUGAGUGCAGUAGGGGAGGCUGGAAUUCCUGGUGUAGCGGUGGAAUGCGCAGAUAUCAGGAGGAAUACCGGUGGCGAAGGCGGGUCUCUGGGCUGUUACUGACGCUGAGGGGCGAAAGCGUGGGGAGCGAACAGG